GGGACGCUGCAGCAGGAGGCAGGGAUGGGCCUGCACAGUUACAGCACUGUAGGGGCUGGGCUGAAGCAGUGACCGUGCUGGAGUGGGAAGUGCUGCAGAGCAAGGCAGGGAGCAAAAGCCCAAAGGAUAGAGCUGUUUAAGGUUGGACCUCGCAUCCAUCUUCAUAUCUUCUGAUAUAAGACAUUGGCCAGCACUGUCAGAGCCAUGCAGAUCCACUUAUCAGCAAGGAACUGACCAUUUACUGGAAGAUAACCUGAGAACUUGGUCGCCUCACCCCAGAGCAAGUCUUCUGACCCUGCUCUGUUUUCUAAUGUGCCCAUGCUCCAUGGUAUCACAGGUCCUGCCUGCAUUGCUAGGGCAGGCCCAGGCUCCAGGCAGGUGAUGGCUGUGCUGGUGGCAGAGUCCUGCAGUGCUCUGGGUGCUCACCAGCAGCUUGCUGCCUGCAGCACCUGCCUUGAAGAGUCUCAUAGUAGUGCAAAAAUGGAGGCCCAGCGCUGGGAAGGAAGUGGUGUGAUUUGUCCCCUGUGCACUUUCUCUGGGACCCUGAUACAGCUCUUCAGUUCCCUGCAAGCCUUUACAGCUCAUGACCUGAUGUUUCUUUUCCUUAAAAAUCUAUCUCCUGAGCUUGUGCUGGUGUUAUCUGGAAGUGAUCCAGCAGAACAGUGGCACUGGAGAAUGGGAUUUCAUCAGAAUGCAUCACAGGAACGUGCCAGUUUCAGAAACUUUAAUCAGAAAAGGGAUCUUGGAGCCAGAAGGCUCUGGGCUGCCCAGCUCCCAGCACAGCUGUGGGUCUUAGCUGCAGGGAUCCCCCACAGGGCUUGGUUUGCCAUGCAUCAGGGCAGUGCCACAUCUCACCCUUCCUGGCUGGGUCUGGCUUGGCAUCGAAGAGGGCUUUAAAAAAUGGAAGAAAGCCCACUAUCUUCCAUGGCAUGUGUCAAGAGCUGGGCAUGGUGUGUGGAGCAGCAGGCUGCUGGGAGUGGUUGCAGGCUGUGGGGCUGUGAGGGGUGGCCAUGGCGGGGCCCAGCCCAGGCCCUGUCACCCCACAUGACAUGGGGGGCUGCCUGGCUGAGGAAAUGCUGGAGUGGGAGCAGCCACUCCCUGUCUUGUGCUCCUCAGGGCACAGAGAGACCUGCUUCUGAGCACCUUGGCACUGAGUGGAGGGUGUUGGAGCUGUGUGGAACACGGUGCUCGUCUGACACAGUCUCACACUGCUCAUUCACACUCAUUUAAAAAAAACUAGUGAACUAGUUGGUACCUGAACGUGCAGCCUUUGUGCCUGGCUGCUCUGUAAGUAGGCUGGGAUCACACUGUGGUUGCUGGGUGCUCUUGGCGUUGUGUGCGGCUGGGGAGGAAUGUGGCUGCUGAUACAGCACCCUGAUGGAGCCCAGCACCAGCCCUGCUCGUGGUUGUGGUGCUCUGGCAUUGUGCCACCUCCUCACAGCCAGCACCUGUGCUGCCUUUGCCUUAAGCCACAUCACUGCCAGGAGGUGUGCAGCAGGCAUUACAGGGCAGCUCAGCAGAUCCCCUGGGUGCCACACUGCACCACGUCAGGUAUUACACCUGCUGCAAAUGGCUAAGGCCCUUGGCUGUGUUUAUCAGGCUCUUUAUUCCUCUCUGCUAGCUGUCAUGCAGUUUGACUCCUGAGCUGCAGAGAGCCAGCUUGUUCUUCUCCACUUUAUUUUGAUCCUUUUGAAACGCUCAGGUGCUGACCCACAGUAGAUGCUGAACUUAAGACAGAGCAGCUGCCCUGAAAUAAGUGUUACUGUUUAUGUCUUUACAGAAGGAUCACAUAAACCCAUUCAGCUGAAGUAAGAUCUGUCUGCACAAGAACAAAUGUGAGUUCAGGGACAAAACUCAGCUCCAAUGACUUAAAAUAAAACAAAAACAAAACGCUUUAAGAAACUUGAGAGAGAUCCCUUGAAUACUCACUAUGCUGCUAUUCAAUCUUUGCACAACAAACAAACCAGCAUUAUUUCUUGCCGUACGAUAAACUGUCACUAUUUCUUGCUGUGCAGUGCUACAGCAGUCCUGUGCUCAGGAUCCUACUCCUGCAUCCAUCAGUUUGGGUUCAGCCAGUGCUGUGCAGAUGCUAUGCAGCUUGAAGUUGUGUUGAAGUAGCAUAGUACUGGCAGAGUGAGCUGGAACAUAAAUCAACUGAAAAUAUCAAUAAUCAUCCCCUAAAUUGUUUGGUUGUUCUCUGGGAUGCUUUUUACUCUAUGAGUAUCCUUUAUUCACUCACAGAACACUGAAGGAGUAAUGAAGGCAGGAGGGGCUGCCCUGGGCAGGGCUGUUUUGCUGGAACUUGGUUUUCCCACUUUCUGGGCUUGGCCUUGGUCUCGUGAUACCUGAGCAGCACCUGCAUGGUGUGCCAUGUAUCAGGGCAGUGCCACGACCCACCCCUCCUGGCAAAGUCUCUCAGUCCUGGACACUGCGGAGUGGAAAAUCAGGGGAGUUCCAUGAAAACUUUUGACUAGAACCUGAAUUUCAGUUCUCAGCAUCAAGCCCUUGGGAUGAUUCGUUCAACUUGUGGUUGUAAUUCCAUGGUUUCUUGUGAAAGAGCAUUUUAAUAUAAACAAUAACCCAGAUAAAAAUAAUCCUUGAUUUAGUUCCCCUGGAUUUAUUAAUGUGACUGCCUCUCUCUGCUACUGCUGUUAAAUCUGAUGUAGUUUUGAAAACUCCUACCCACAGAGAUCACUGAGGACGUACUCCUGGCUGUUAAGGUUGCUCAGUAUGGAAGCAUUUCAGAAGGAAAAAGAGUGAGAGCCAAAGCCGCAGCAAGAUGUAUUAGCAAAAUAUCAAUAACAGGCAUGCGUAGGGAUGGCUCCUUGCAGUGUUGCUUUGCUUUCAGAAAACCAUUCCAUCAAUUAGUGCUCCAAGGCCUGGAUGCACAGAAGUUCAUUCUUUUUUGAGCUUGCCUUAUCACCUUAAACACACCCAGAAGUGGCUUGUGUGAUUUUUAUCGGUUGAUAUACAGGUACAGCAGAGAGAUGGAGGUGCCUACUGCCUUAUGCAGUACAAAAACUCAGUAUCUAGAAAAACUGUCUGGGAAGUAGGCAGAGAACUGUAAGGGCAGUCAAUGCUGUGUUACACUCUCAGCAAGGUCUUAUUAAGUAAAUAUUUAAGCAGGAAUUGUUGAAAUAAGUCAAUGGGAAGACUGGCUCCCCUGGGACUGGAUUGCAGGCACAUGAAUGUGGACAUGAACACUUUAUUAUAAAUUCAUGUAAAAUAGAGCUGUUUUUAUUUCUUGUCCCUCUGCUCUUGCAGUCGAACCUCCAGCUGAUGUCCUAAUCCUCUCUGUCACCAAACUGCCAGCUGGUGGUAUUGCUUUCUCUGAGCCUCUGUACAGCAAGAACUGCUGCAGUGUUAACACUAUCUUCAGCUGCCUGGGCCUGGUGACAGCAUCUUGUGGACACUGCUGCCAUGACAUCUUCUCCUAUGGUGCGCCUCCGUGUUCCCCAGUGCAUGACAGUGGUUUCCCUGAGAUGCUUUUGCCAGCCCAGGCUCCCAGGUGUGACCACGUUCUGUGCAUGCAAGGGAGGUGUCGUGGCCAUGCCUGGCACUUUGCUGGAGGCAGUGGGGAAGUACCCACAGGAAAGCAUUCCUCCUUCUGAUUGGAAGGAGAGGGCAAACCCCUUGGUUCCAUCGUUCUUCCCACUUCUUCCUUCCCAUUUAUGGAAAAGGAUCAUUGUGCCCCAGGUCCCCAUGGAGCUGUACCCUUGCUUCCUCCUCCAGAAGAGAGAGGAAUAACUGAUAGGGGAAGUGGGUGGAUGGGUUCAGUCAUAUACAAACGUUUUAUCUGCCAGUGUUAAGAAAAUAUCCAGCUGUUGAAGUUUGCCUGCAUAUUGCUGUCAGUGCUUGUGCCAUCUCAUCCCAGCACCAGCCAGGCCACAGACCAGCUGGGAGCUGUGGGAGCGUCCAGCCACGACCACGUGCUUUGGGCACCUUGGAGACUCGUGAAUCCAUCCCAUAGGCAAACCAUGGCAAAGCCCCCAGACCAUGACUACUGGAAGGAUUCUGCAUGUGGAUAGGAACAACCAACGAAUCCCCUGCUUGGUGGCAAUUGAAGUCUUAUGCUGACUUCAGCAGAGCCAUAUGAUCUACACCAGCUGGGAUAUGGCUCACUGACUUAGUUGGGACAAGUCUGUAUCAUUGGAAGAUACAGAUUAUAUUUGUUCUCUUCCUUAAAAGCACAGAGUUGAGGAAAAAAAAUUAA
This is a long non-coding RNA of Numida meleagris (helmeted guineafowl), 4213 nucleotides long. RefSeq lists it as uncharacterized. The record is from RefSeq and is a predicted model, not a curated record. The transcript has 4 exons. Lineage: Eukaryota; Metazoa; Chordata; Aves; Galliformes; Numididae.